Molecule: ribosomal RNA, 407 nt
Filed under: uncultured fungus
Lineage: Eukaryota; Fungi
Description: eukaryotic LSU rRNA
Rfam family: Eukaryotic large subunit ribosomal RNA
Source: RNAcentral
GUGACCUCAAAUCAGGUAGGACUACCCGCUGAACUUAAGCAUAUCAAUAAGCGGAGGAAAAGAAACUAACAAGGAUUCCCCUAGUAACUGCGAGUGAAGCGGGAAAAGCUCAAAUUUAAAAUCUGGCAGUCUUUGGCUGUCCGAGUUGUAAUCUAGAGAAGUGCUAUCCGCGCUGGACCGUGUACAAGUCUCCUGGAAUGGAGCGUCAUAGAGGGUGAGAAUCCCGUCUUUGACACGGACUGCCAGGGCUUUUGGAUGUGCUCUCAAAGAGUCGAGUUGUUUGGGAAUGCAGCUCAAAAUGGGUGGUAAAUUCCAUCUAAAGCUAAAUAUUGGCGAGAGACCGAUAGCGAACAAGUACCGUGAGGGAAAGAUGAAAAGAACUUUGGAAAGAGAGUUAAACAGUACGU